UGGUCAAUAGCCUAACGGCUGAACCAGCAACUUGGAGGAAUGUAUAGCAACUGCUAGUUGCACUAAAAGUUUUAGUGUAAAAUCAACUUUGUUGAAUAAAAUUCUGGAUAGAAUUUUGAUAAUGACAUUAUCUGUCCAUAAGUCUUGACCAAAUUACGUGCCAGCAGUCGCGGUAAUACGUAGAAGACAAGUGUUAUUCAUCUUUAAUAGGUUUAAAGGGUACUUAGGCGGUAAAUCAAGCCUUAAAAAGGGACUAAUUUGCUAGAGUUUUAUGUGAAAAAGUAUUAAAGUACUGCUGGUGUAGAGAUGAAAUUCUGUCAUACCUUGAAUGGCACAGGUUAAGGCGAAAGCAUCUUUUUAUGUAAAAACUGACGUUGAAGGACGAAGGCUUUGUGUCUCGAACAGGAUUAGAUACCCUAGUAGUCUAAGCAGACAAUGAUGAAUGUCAUAGAUUAGAUGUAAUUUGAUCUAUAAAUGAAAGUGUAAGCAUUCCACCUCAAGAGUAAUUUGGCAACAUUGGAACUGAAAUCAUUAGACCGUUUCUGAAACCAGUAGUGAAGUAUGUUGUUUAAUUUGAUAAUCCGCAAAAAACCUUACCACUUUAAUAUGAAUAGAUAUAUUUUAUCAUACAAGCGUUGCACGGCUGUCUUCAGUUAAUGUCGUGAGACUUUGGUUAGUUCCAUAAAAUUAACGUAAACCCUUACUUUAUUUACUAAUAAAGUAGUUCACCGCUAUAUUGGAUGUGAUAACUGGGAUCAAGACAAGUCAUCAUGACCUAAAUAUUGUGGGCUAUAGACUUGCCACAUAUGCCUUACAAAGAGAUGCUAAAUUGUG
This 834-nucleotide ribosomal RNA is filed under the name Leproplaca obliterans. RNAcentral describes it as "SSU rRNA". It matches the Rfam family "Bacterial small subunit ribosomal RNA", at positions 365 to 1259 of the family's 1533-position model. The record is from RNAcentral. Lineage: Eukaryota; Fungi; Ascomycota; Lecanoromycetes; Teloschistales; Teloschistaceae.